CCUACGGGAGGCAGCAGUGGGGAAUUUUGGACAAUGGGGGCAACCCUGAUCCAGCAAUGCCGCGUGAGUGAAGAAGGCCUUCGGGUUGUAAAGCUCUUUUGUCAGGGAAGAAACGGUGUUUCCUAAUACGGAAUGCUAAUGACGGUACCUGAAGAAUAAGCACCGGCUAACUACGUGCCAGCAGCCGCGGUAAUACGUAGGGUGCAAGCGUUAAUCGGAAUUACUGGGCGUAAAGCGUGCGCAGGCGGUUUUAUAAGUCUGAUGUGAAAUCCCCGGGCUCAACCUGGGAACUGCAUUGGAGACUGUAAGGCUAGAGUGUGUCAGAGGGGGGUAGAAUUCCACGUGUAGCAGUGAAAUGCGUAGAUAUGUGGAGGAAUACCGAUGGCGAAGGCAGCCCCCUGGGAUAACACUGACGCUCAUGCACGAAAGCGUGGGGAGCAAACAGGAUUAGAUACCCUGGUAGUCCACGCCCUAAACGAUGUCUACUAGUUGUCGGGUCUUAAUUGACUUGGUAACGCNGCUACGCGUGAGUAGACCGCCGUCGGGUAGGUACGGUCGCGAGAGUAAACGUAACGAAGAAGUAGACGGCGUGAGACGUGCCGACGGACGACGACGAGGGAGGAGG
This 625-nucleotide ribosomal RNA is filed under the name uncultured bacterium. Its description in RNAcentral is "bacterial SSU rRNA". The stretch from base 1 to 540 matches the Rfam family "Bacterial small subunit ribosomal RNA", at positions 338 to 873 of the family's 1533-position model. The record is from RNAcentral.